UAGGGAAUCUUCGGCAAUGGGGGGCAACCCGUGACCGAGCAACGCCGCGUGAGUGAAGAAGGUUUUCGGAUCGUAAAGCUCUGUUGUAAGAGAAGAACGUGUGUGAGAGUGGAAAGUUCACACAGUGACGGUAACUUACCAGAAAGGGACGGCUAACUACGUGCCAA
RNAcentral lists this ribosomal RNA (167 nucleotides) under uncultured bacterium. RNAcentral describes it as "partial 16S rRNA". It matches the Rfam family "Bacterial small subunit ribosomal RNA", at positions 355 to 511 of the family's 1533-position model. The record is from RNAcentral.